GAUGAACGCUGGCGGCGUGCCUAAUACAUGCAAGUCGAGCGAACGGACGAGAAGCUUGCUUUUCUGAUGUUAGCGGCGGACGGGUGAGUAACACGUGGAUAACCUACCUAUAAGACUGGGAUAACUUCGGGAAACCGGAGCUAAUACCGGAUAAUAUUUUGAACCGCAUGGUUCAAAAGUGAAAGACGGUCUUGCUGUCACUUAUAGAUGGAUCCGCGCUGCAUUGGCUAGUUGGUAAGGUAACGGCUUACCAAGGCAACGAUGCAUAGCCGACCUGAGAGGGUGAUCGGCCACACUGGAACUGAGACAUGGUCCAGACUCCUACGGGAGGCAGCAGUAGGGAAUCUUCCGCAAUGGGCGAAAGCCUGACGGAGCAACGCCGCGUGAGUGAUGAAGGUCUUCGGAUCGUAAAACUCUGUUAUUAGGGAAGAACAUAUGUGUAAGUAACUGUGCACAUCUUGACGGUACCUAAUCAGAAAGCCACGGCUAACUACGUG
Molecule: ribosomal RNA, 497 nt
Filed under: uncultured bacterium
Lineage: Bacteria
Description: partial 16S ribosomal RNA
Rfam family: Bacterial small subunit ribosomal RNA
Source: RNAcentral